GAGUUUGAUCGUGGCUCAGAUUGAACGCUGGCGGCAGGCCUAACACAUGCAAGUCGAGCGGUAGAGAGAAGCUUGCUUCUCUUGAGAGCGGCGGACGGGUGAGUAAUGCCUAGGAAUCUGCCUGGUAGUGGGGGAUAACGCUCGGAAACGGACGCUAAUACCGCAUACGUCCUACGGGAGAAAGCAGGGGACCUUCGGGCCUUGCGCUAUCAGAUGAGCCUAGGUCGGAUUAGCUAGUUGGUGAGGUAAUGGCUCACCAAGGCGACGAUCCGUAACUGGUCUGAGAGGAUGAUCAGUCACACUGGAACUGAGACACGGUCCAGACUCCUACGGGAGGCAGCAGUGGGGAAUAUUGGACAAUGGGCGAAAGCCUGAUCCAGCCAUGCCGCGUGUGUGAAGAAGGUCUUCGGAUUGUAAAGCUAC
Molecule: ribosomal RNA, 423 nt
Filed under: uncultured bacterium
Lineage: Bacteria
Description: bacterial SSU rRNA
Rfam family: Bacterial small subunit ribosomal RNA
Source: RNAcentral